UACGAAGGGGGCUAGCGUUGCUCGGAAUCACUGGGCGUAAAGCGCACGUAGGCGGAUCUUUAAGUCAGGGGUGAAAUCCUGGAGCUCAACUCCAGAACUGCCUUUGAUACUGGGGAUCUCGAGUCCGGAAGAGGUAAGUGGAACUCCGAGUGUAGAGGUGAAAUUCGUAGAUAUUCGGAAGAACACCAGUGGCGAAGGCGGCUUACUGGUCCGGUACUGACGCUGAGGCGCGAAAGCGUGGGGAGCAAACAGG
RNAcentral lists this ribosomal RNA (253 nucleotides) under uncultured bacterium. RNAcentral describes it as "partial 16S ribosomal RNA". It matches the Rfam family "Bacterial small subunit ribosomal RNA", at positions 524 to 776 of the family's 1533-position model. The record is from RNAcentral.